CGGAUUGUAGUCUGCAACCCGACUACAUGAAGCUGGAAUCGCUAGUAAUCGCAGGUCAGCAUACUGCGGUGAAUACGUUCCCGGGUCUUGUACACACCGCCCGUCACACCAUGGGAGCCGGAAAUGCCCGAAGCCAGUGACCCAACCUUAGGGAGGGAGCUGUCGAAGGUGGAGCCGGUAACUGGGGUGAAGUCGUAACAAGGUAAC
This 207-nucleotide ribosomal RNA is filed under the name uncultured bacterium. RNAcentral describes it as "partial 16S ribosomal RNA". It matches the Rfam family "Bacterial small subunit ribosomal RNA", at positions 1294 to 1500 of the family's 1533-position model. The record is from RNAcentral.